Molecule: ribosomal RNA, 459 nt
Filed under: uncultured bacterium
Lineage: Bacteria
Description: partial 16S ribosomal RNA
Rfam family: Bacterial small subunit ribosomal RNA
Source: RNAcentral
CCUACGGGAGGCAGCAGUGAGGAAUAUUGGUCAAUGGGCGCGAGCCUGAACCAGCCAAGUCGCGUGAGGGAAGACGGUCCUAUGGAUUGUAAACCUCUUUUGUCGGGGAGCAAAAGACGCCACGCGUGGCGUUCCGAGAGUACCCGAAGAAAAAGCAUCGGCUAACUCCGUGCCAGCAGCCGCGGUAAUACGGAGGAUGCGAGCGUUAUCCGGAUUUAUUGGGUUUAAAGGGUGCGCAGGCGGAGGUGCAAGUCAGCGGUAAAAUUGCGGGGCUCAACCCCGUACUGCCGUUGAAACUGCAUCCUUUGAGUGCGCGAGAAGUAUGCGGAAUGCGUGGUGUAGCGGUGAAAUGCAUAGAUAUCACGCAGAACUCCGAUUGCGAAGGCAGCAUACCGGCGCGCAACUGACGCUCAUGCACGAAAGCGUGGGUAUCGAACAGGAUUAGAUACCCUGGUAGUC